AGUUGCAGAAGGAGGCAUCCCUAUCGGACGCAACACAGACAACAGCACGCCCGCCAUCCUCUCCUUCGCCUGCUCCUCGAACUCAAACUUCUGCCAUACCACCUCCGCCCCAGGCCCCCGCGCCACCACCUCCACCUCCUUCCCAGCCUCCUGCUCAGAAAGCUGCCCCUCCGCCAAAAUCAUCAGAACGAGGCGCAUUAUUAAGCUCCAUCUGCGAUUUUAAGAAAGGCAAAUUAAAAAAGGCUGAGACUAAUGACAAAAGCAAACCCAAAUUAUAGGGUGGUACAAUUUAAUAUCAUCGCUUGAAACCAACUGGCCAAACUGGUCCAUUUAUAAGGAUAAUUUGGCUAUCACUCCAUAUUUUCUUCUCAAAUUCUGUUCUCAAGUUUUAACAUGACAUAAAUUAUUGGUCAUUAUAAUAAUGAUGUUAACAGCAAAGAUGUAAAGUCCCCAAGAACAUUUUUAUAGGUGUGUUCGUUUUUUUUGUAAUGUGUGAUUUGGUUUUGUUCUAUUUUUCGAAAUAUUGUUAUUACUAUUAUUAUUAUAGUUAAUAUUAUCGUCAAUGUUAUCGUUCAUGUCAUAUUAUUUUUCACUAUGAUUGAAUUGCCUGGUGGAGAAGCUCCGAUGAUAAGCGCCCGUUGAAGAUCAGGAAAGGUGUUAGGUAUCAGUUCUAAGAUUAGAUAUUAUAUUUUCAUGAUACGUUGAACAAAUUGUUUUUUUGUUUGUUUGUUUUGUUUUGUUUGUUUUUUUUAUGGCAGUUAAAGCUGACGCAGCGUAACAAGGAAAACAAAAAUAUCAAAAUCAAAGAAAGGAUGAUUCUGCUUUAUUAUGUAAAGUGGCAUACCUCAAGAAUUGAUUGUUAGCACCAAUUACGUUAGACGCAAAUCUAGAACCUAGCCGCGAAUAGGAGAACAAUCUUGCUGUUUUAAAAAAUUAAGAAAAUGUGAUCUAGUUUAGUGGCAGCCAUUGUGGAUCUUAUUCGAUGUAUGUUCGAACAAUGCAAAGUUAUUUAUCUUUUUAAUGGUGCAUCUGAUUUAUCCUGUGACUGUGAAAAUCUUCUUUUGUUUUAGUGUCCAAUAAUUUCCAAAUCCCCUUAGCUUGAAAGAAAUGCUUCAAUGAAGUCCAAUGUCACAUGUUUACAGUACGUAUAAAACUUAUUUACGAUUAACAAAUGCUCUAGUUCCAUUCGCAAUGUCACGUUCGUUGUGUGCGAAAAGCUUUUAUGGUCAUUCCAGUUACUUUUUCAGACUCUCUCUCAUUCUCGUUCCCAUAGCUCAAUGGUUUUCUCUAGCCGAUUGGACCUUUGGACGAGAAACCGAGGGACUUUGGGGACGGGAGUGGUUCUUUUUGUAAAGGAAAGAGAGGGCCUGGGAACGAAGCUGUCUUAAUUAUGCACACGGUAGUAAUGAUAAAUGCUAAAAGCACUGAAGAUGCUGAAUGUGAAAAACUCGAUUUUUAGUACAAGUGUAACCAAAAAAUUUAUUAAUUAAACGAAAAUUAGAAAUAAAUAAUACGAAUGAUUUAGUUAUCUCCUAA
Non-coding RNA from Pocillopora verrucosa, 1536 nucleotides. NCBI's taxonomy places the organism in Eukaryota, Metazoa, Cnidaria, Anthozoa, Scleractinia, Pocilloporidae. The record is from RefSeq and is a predicted model, not a curated record.